AUUGAACGCUGGCGGCAGGCCUAACACAUGCAAGUCGAACGAGUGGCGCACGGGUGAGUAAUGUCUGGGAAACUGCCCUAUGGAGGGGGUUAACUACUGGAAACGGUAGCUAAUACCGCAUACCAUCAGAUGUGCCCAGAUGGGAUUAGCUUGUGGGUGGGGUAACGGCUCACCAAGGCGACGAUCCCUAGCUGGUCGGAGGGGAUGACCAGCCACACUGGACCGGAAACACGGUCAGGCCUCUUACGGGGGGAAGCGGUGGGGAAUAUUGAACAAUGGGGGCAAGCCUACUGCAGACAGGCCGCGUGGAUGAAGAAGGCCUUCGGGUUGUAAAGUACGUUGAGCGGGGAGGCGGUACCCACAGAAGAAGCACCGGCUAACUACGUGCCAGCAGCCGCGGUAAUAC
Molecule: ribosomal RNA, 406 nt
Filed under: uncultured bacterium
Lineage: Bacteria
Description: partial 16S ribosomal RNA
Rfam family: Bacterial small subunit ribosomal RNA
Source: RNAcentral